This 246-nucleotide non-coding RNA is filed under the name Anaerocolumna xylanovorans. RNAcentral's name for it is "T-box sequence". It matches the Rfam family "T-box leader". From Rfam's summary of the family: Uncharged tRNA acts as the effector for transcription antitermination of genes in the T-box leader family. T-boxes are found upstream of many aminoacyl-tRNA synthetase genes and some amino acid biosynthetic genes usually in Gram-positive bacteria. Lineage: Bacteria; Bacillati; Bacillota; Clostridia; Lachnospirales; Lachnospiraceae. The record is from RNAcentral.
AAAAAGGCUAUGAAGAGGAAUAGUACGUAUUAUACCUGUCUCAGAGAGAAGAUGGCGGUGCAAAUCUUUACAAGGGUAAUACCGAAGCAGUCUUGGAGCUGUGGACCGAACAGAUUUUAAGUAGGCUCCAACGGAGUUUCCGCCGUUAAAAGGAAAUCGGUAUCGGGUAUUUUACCCCGUACUGACUGGAGUGCAAAUUUUAUUUGAAUUUAGGUGGUAACACGGACUCAAGAGUUCGCCCUAAGC